This 266-nucleotide ribosomal RNA is filed under the name uncultured archaeon. Its description in RNAcentral is "partial 16S ribosomal RNA". It matches the Rfam family "Archaeal small subunit ribosomal RNA", at positions 719 to 982 of the family's 1478-position model. The record is from RNAcentral.
ACACGACUACAUUAGAUACCCGUGUAGUCCUAGCCGUAAACGAUACUCGCUAGGUGUCGGCCACGGUGCGACCGUUGUCGGUGCCGUAGGGAAGCCGUGAAGCGAGCCACCUGGGAAGUACGGCCGCAAGGCUAGAAACUUAAAGGAAUUGGCGGGGGAGCACAACAACGGGUGGAGCUUGCGGUUUAAUUGGACUCAACGCCGGAAAUCUUACCGGGACCGACAGCAACAUGAAGGCCAGGCUGAAGACUUUGCCGGAUUAGCUG